RNAcentral lists this long non-coding RNA (273 nucleotides) under Apteryx rowi (Okarito brown kiwi). RNAcentral's name for it is "lncRNA (ENSARWG00000013879.1)". Lineage: Eukaryota; Metazoa; Chordata; Aves; Apterygiformes; Apterygidae. The record is from RNAcentral.
AGGUCAUCCACAGCAAUCCAAAGAGGAAGAAAACUGCAGGUACAGAGACCAGAACUACAAAUAGUACAAAGAACUACUGGAAAGAAGCUCUUCUCCAACGUCUCGCCUCUUGUGCGGAUUGCUUCCUAUCCAAGAUCAUCAGACCUGGUGAGAGGUUAGAUUGUGCAGCUUUCGGCUGUCACAACGAACAAUGAGUUCAGGAAGAGACUGGGAAGUCUUCAAGCAAAGAAAAUGAACAUCUUUCUGGGAUUCUUGGACAGCUGCCAUCUCACA